Molecule: ribosomal RNA, 608 nt
Filed under: uncultured bacterium
Lineage: Bacteria
Description: bacterial SSU rRNA
Rfam family: Bacterial small subunit ribosomal RNA
Source: RNAcentral
UAAUGCAUAGAUAAUGUGCCCCUUAGUUCGGGAUAGCCACUGGAAACGGUGAUUAAUACCGGAUACUCCUUCUUGUUAUAAGACAAGUCGGGAAAGUUUUUCGCUAAGGGAUCAGUCUAUGUUCCAUCAGCUUGUUGGUGAGGUAAUGGCUCACCAAGGCUAUGACGGAUAUCUGGUUUGAGAGGAUGAUCAGACACACUGGAACUGAGACACGGUCCAGACUCCUACGGGAGGCAGCAGUGAGGAAUAUUGCACAAUGGAGGAAACUCUGAUGCAGCAACGCCGCGUGGAGGAUGACGCAUUUCGGUGUGUAAACUCCUUUUAUUAGGGAAGAUAAUGACGGUACCUAAUGAAUAAGCACCGGCUAACUCCGUGCCAGCAGCCGCGGUAAUACGGAGGGUGCAAGCGUUACUCGGAAUCACUGGGCGUAAAGGGUGCGUAGGCUGGCUUUUAAGUCAGAUGUGAAAUCCAAUGGCUCAACCAUUGAACUGCAUUUGAAACUGAAAGCCUAGAGUUCAGAAGGGGCAGAUGGAAUUAGUGGUGUAGGGGUAAAAUCCGUAGAUAUCACUAGGAAUAUCAAAAGCGAAGGCGAUCUGCUGGGAUGAUAC